Molecule: small nucleolar RNA, 131 nt
Filed under: Peromyscus maniculatus bairdii (prairie deer mouse)
Lineage: Eukaryota; Metazoa; Chordata; Mammalia; Rodentia; Cricetidae
Description: Small nucleolar RNA SNORA70 (ENSPEMG00000000936.2)
Rfam family: Small nucleolar RNA SNORA70
About the family: snoRNA U70 seems to be exclusive to mammals and is a member of the H/ACA class of snoRNA which contain H (ANANNA) and ACA box motifs. H/ACA box snoRNAs are involved in the conversion of uridines to pseudouridines (5-ribosyluracil) a constituent of structural RNAs (transfer, ribosomal, small nuclear, and small nucleolar).
Source: RNAcentral
CUGCAGUUAAGCCAAUCAAGUCUCUUUCCUUCCAGGGGCCUGGUGUUCGGUGGACACUCACAGCAGCCUCCUUAGGAAUGUAUGCAGCCUGUUGCCUAUGUGGAUGGCUCUAAGCGACCUUGGAGACAUUU